GAAGUUCGAGUGAUGGUGGAAAGUUGUUUGCAGGCGUCGAUGUUCUUGAGAACGGCCUCAUCGAGACCAGAAAGGUGUUUGUGGCCUUCCUUGAGCAUGGAUUGAAUCCCAUAGGGUUGAAUGUUGAAACCCAUGUUCUUGCAAUUUGAGAAUACCCUAACCCUAAAACCCUGCAAAUGCUAACUUCUCUCUUCAACUAUCAAACUUUUGUGGCAACACUGUGUCACUGCCUCGCACUGUCUUACUAAACCCUAAUAAUAACGCCCAACAAACUGAGAGGUGAAAAGCAGAGAGAGUGGAAGAAUAUGGAGAAAAUCAAAGAAAAACUAUUAAAUCAAAAAACACUUACAAUAAACAAAAACUACGUGACUUUCUCCAAAAUAAAUAAUAUCACAUUUUAACUACACAAAUAAUUGGUUUAAAAAAGCUAGUGAUGAUUACUUCUAUUUUUUAUUGUUUUAUUUUAUUUUUUAAGACUAAAAUAUAACUUUGUUAUUUUUUAUUGCCAAUGCUGUAUUCCUAUUUUAAAAUAAAAAUAUUUAGUCUUAUAAUUUUUCAAAAUUAAUGAUUUUUAAACCAAUGGUUAAAAUUAAGACUUUGAAACUCAAUCUUUGUUCUAAGCCAUAUUUUUUUCAAGUGAAGGAUUUUUCAACCAUUUGAAAAUAAGACUAUAACUCAAUAUUUACUUGGAUGAGAAAAAUUUCAGUGUUAAAAAAUAUAUUUUCUUCUUUUCCGUGUCUUAACUCAUUGAAGGGGAAUAUUUAAUAUAAAUGUAAAUAAAAUAUUAAAUUAUAUAUUUAACGGAUUUUUGAUUUUGUUUAAAUCAUAUAUUAUAUGACAAUGGUUACGCUCGUAAAUAAAAUAUGAUAUAUAAACUAUUAGUUGAAUUGUCGUUUUAAGUAAAAAAAAAAUAUUGUAAUAAAGAUCCUCUUUUUAGUAAUAAUCUAAGUUAUGUAAAAUAAAAUAUCAAUGAUGAGAAUUUAAUGGGGAGUUCUUACCACCAUGAGGUGUGUAUAUGUUUAAUUUGUAUUAUAAUAAACUUAAUUUGAUUAGGUUUGUAUGUUAAUAUAAGUCUUUAAUUGAAUAAUUAAAUAUAGUGGAACAUAUUUGAUGCAAGUAAAGGUGUGAAAAAAAUCUAGUUAGAUAAACUCCUUUAUUAUUAUUUUUUUUCGGUGGUUUAAUCCAUUAAAUAUUCAUAUAUUUAAAUUCAGUUUUUAUUUUUAUUUUUAUUUUAAAUUUUUUAAAAUUGAAAUUUCAUUUUGUUUAUACAGAUUUUAAAAAUUAAAAAAAUUGAAUUUUCAAAUUUUAAACUUCUAUUGUUCUCUGUCCACGACCUCGGGGUGUUAUAAGAUGUGACACCUAAUUGGAUAGUGGAGUAAAGAAUAUUAAGUGCACUGACUGGAAGGAAACAAUACUUGAAAUAUCAAUUUGAGGGAAAUAUGCAUUUGACAUGCCAAUGGAAAAGAGAAAAAUAAACUUUUGAAUUUAGCUAUCUAUUUUUUUAGAUUUCAGAAUUUGAAAUGGAAAUGUACUUUUAGAACAUAGUUCAAAAGAAAAAAUUAAUAUUUAUUUAAUUGAAAAUAGAAAAAUUCAUUUCAAAUUAUGAAACUUAAUUGCAAGUUCUGAAAGUACAAAAAUUAAUUUUGAAUUCGAAAUAUAUUUUCAUAUACACUACACUAUAAAAUUAAUUAUAAAUUUUAUAGUUUAAAAUAUAAACUAAAAAUAUUAAUUACAUAUUAUAUAAUUUAAAAUAUAAUUUUAGAUUAUAUAAUCUAAAAAUUAAUGAUUGAAAAAAUAUAUUUAGAGCUAAUAAUUAUCUUUUACAGAUUGAAAAUAUAUUUAAAUUUAAUAAUGAAUUUUUACAGUUUGACACUGCAAUCUGUAAUACAUCAUUUAAUUUUCUAACCUUUAUACUGUAUAAUUUGUAAUUAUUUUAAUCAUUUAAUUCAAAAUAUUUUUCAUGACAUGAAAGAAUAAUUUUUAAAUUUUUUAGAGUGCAUGUAGGUGCAUGAAAAAAGUUGAAGUUAUAAUACUAUUGUGCAAAAAGGUGAUACUAACUUACAUUAAGAAAAACUGUUUUUUAUCAUCAAUUUAAUUGGUUUGGGUUGAAGUAACAUAGAAAUCAACCCCACCUUUUAUACAUUAAAUCUGGUUUAUAUAAUUGAGCAGAAGGAUAAAUUAGUGGUACCUCACUCAUACCAUCAGUCUAACAGAAGCUGGCAAACUAUGUUAUAUUUAAUUUUUAGUAUUAUUAAAUUAUAAUUUUAUUAUAUUUCCUUAAUAUUUAUAUAAUGUUGAAUAUUUUAUAUAAUAUUAUAUUAAUAUUAUGUUAAAUUUGUUAGAAAAUAUGAAUUUGAAUUUAAAAUCCAAUUUAAUUUUUUUUUAUAAAAUUAUGCAUCUACAUUUAAAAUCCAAUCCAAAUAUUUAGAUUUAGAUUUAUAAAAAUUUAAAUUAUUUUUAUAAAAAAUAUAAAUUUAGAUUUAGAAUUGAUCCAAAUAUUUGAAUCUUAUUGAAUUUGAAUAGGAUUUUCCAAAAUCAAGUUCAUGCCACUUUAGAUGAAGUUUUUUCCAAUGCACUAGUUGAUAUUUCACAUAUUCUACUUCUUGAAUAUCAGUAAAAUAUCAACUGAUGUAUUUUUUUUUUAUGUUUGAAGAAAUUGAAUUAUUUUUUUGAUUGUCAUCCUACCUUUUAUAUAUAUUAUAUAUACCACAUCCUAUUACUUCUAUACCAAUAAACUAUUUUUUUCUAUAAAAAAAACAUGGGAAACAAAAUUUUGAUUCUCCCAUGAAUACAUGUCAUAAAACAAAGAAGUGAAUUUGAGGUGGAGCGUUUAACAUAAAGUUUAGUAUGCUCUUGGCCUAAUGACAUAAGCUUUUUCCUUUUAGACUAAGUGUGUGUUUGGAAGCCUACUGUCUUUCCAAAACCGUUACAAUUUGAUUAAAAAUUGCAGAAUACACUAUUGGUAGUGUAUGCUUAAAUGUGGAUCAAACAUCAGUGCAAACUCUUGAAACUGAAUAAAGUAGCUUUGGAAAUUAAAUGUGAAUUUUUCUUGAUUUAAUUAGCAAGUAAACAUAUUGUUAACAUAGUUAAACCUCCUAAUUUCCAAGGCAAGUUGAAGAGCUCUUCUGAUUUAUUUCUUACAAAUUUUAUUGAAUAUAAUUUUCACGAAUCAUUGGUUAGUAAUUUUAGUGUCUAAUUUUUUUACUUUAAACUAAUAAAAAAAUUAGAAAGAGAUUAAAAAAUAAUAAAAAUAGUAUAAUAAUUAAAUAUUUUUAUAAAAUUAAAAAAUAAAUAAUAAUAAAAUUAAUUAAUUAAAAUAUUAAAAAAUAUAAUGCAUAAUAAAGAAUCUAAUUAAAAUUGAAACUAUUUUUUUUAAUAAAAUACUUUAAAGAUUUUAUCAAACAUUUUUAUAUAAAUUAAAAUUUAUAAAUCAAAUAAAUUAAUAGUUAAAAUAUUUAAUAGAACAUUAUUUAUCCUAUUAUCAACUUCAUCUAACCUAUAACUGAAAAAUAAAACAUUUUACAUAGUGAAAGAAAUAAAAAAAAUUGUUAUUUCUAUUAUUUCUAUACUAAAAAAUAUUUAUAAUUUAGGAAAACUAAAACAUUUUAAACUUUCAUUUCAUUAUUUAAAUUUAUAAUUUUUUUAUUCAUCAUUAUAUGUGUAAUAUGUAUUUUUUAACUUAGUUUAUAUUAUUAAAAUUUCACCAUUAACAAAAGACACAAGAGAAGAAAUAAUAUAUCAUAAAAAAUGCAUUACAUUAUUUAUCAUGUUCUAAAAGCACAAAUGUUUUCUCGUAAUCGAUGAAAUACUUGUUUUAAUUACUGUAGAAAAAUUAGGUUUAGGGUUACUCAUAUUUUUUCGUGAAGGGAAUGUGUGUGCUGAUAAGUUGGUUAAUUUGGAUUUAUUAAUAGAGAAUUUUUUCAUUGGUAUAAUAGGCUUCCAUCUUGUCUUGUUCUUAGAAUUCUUUUAUGAAUAUGUAUAAUCUACCUAUGUAUCGUUUUUGUUAACAUAUGGGUUUUGGUCUAGUCCCCUCGUAUUUUUGUAUUUUCUUUCAUUUUUUUCCUUUUAUAAUAAUACUUCUUUUUAUGUGAUGGCAAAUGAUUAUUGUUACUUGAGAUGUCAGCCUAACUGAAAUUUUAAGUUACAUAGUGAUACCUAAUAUAAAAAAUUUUAUUUAAAAAAAAUACAAUAUUUUUAAUAUUAGAUUGAUAUAGAUCUAAAGCUCAGGUAGAUCGAAUAAUUUUUAAGAUGAUUUAUUAAACAACACCUAAUGUAUUUAGGUUUAUUAAUGAAGUAAAUAUAAAAAAUAUAUUAAUUAUUAAUUCAAGUUAAAAUUAUAAAAUAAAUUUUAAUUAUAAAUGUUAACUAGUUAAUAUUAAAGAAAGUAAUUGACCUAUUCUAAAGUAAAGACUAAUGGACUCAUUAUACCCAUUAGGUAUUAGUCCCAUUAACAAUACAUUUAUUUUAAUAAUUAAAUAAUUAAUGAACAUUUAAUAACUAAAUAUCACUUUUAAGGUUCAUAGAGUUACUCCAUGUAUUUUCACUCACUAUGUCAUACUGAGAGAUUGUUAACCCCCACUUAGUAACCAGAAGAAAGGUCAAGUAGUUAAAGGUCAAAGAAGUAUUAGUCAAAUCUACUCUUCCCUACAUUUUAUAAGAACAAAUACCGAAAUAAUAAAAUUGUAAAAUGAUAAAUUAAUAUAAAUAUUAUUUUUAUAUUUAAUAUAGACUAACUUUAUGUAUUAUCGGGUGACCGUGAGGUCAAAUGGUCGACAAGACUGAAUAAACUUGGAAGCAGACAAUAAAUCUGCGAUUAACCAUAAUUAAGCCAGUUUAAUCAUAAACUAUGAUUAAGGUACAAUUGGACCUUCGUCUGAGUCCAAAAGCAGAUCCAUGAUAACUGAGACCCAACAUAAAACUAUAAAUAUUAAAGGAAAAUCAAUGCCAAAGAUAAUUUUUCAUCCUUAACUUACUUGCAUAUUGUACUUUGACUAACUUGAACAUCGGAGUGCUUUCGGAGUACCCUCUCUACUCAUCUUGGAGAAGGAACAACAAGACAACCAAUGAAUACAAGAACCGUGAGGAUGUGAAGGCGAAGAGGAUUGAAACUACUAACCCGACCAUGUAAGUACAUUUUACAAAUUAAUAUACUACGAAUCAUGAUGACAUUGACAGAUUUUUUUUUUGUCUAUUAUAUAUCAUACAAAACUCCAUUAAUAAAAUUCAAAUAAUAAUAUUUUUAUAUUAAAAUUUCAAAAUAAGAAAAUAUUAAAAGGGUUUGAUAACACUUUACUUUCUAAUAUUUUCCAAAAAAAAAUAAAAUUGAAAGCGAAAACUGUGUUUUAUGUAAUGAUGAUAUGGAUCAGUGACUUUUGGGCACUUGUGAUCUGAAACCAGAUACUUGCUUGGACUGAUUUUGAUCAAAGAUCUUGUUUUAAUUUUUAAAUUUCGUUUUUAUUUGUGUUUUUAAAUUUUUUUAUUAGCUUUUACUUUUACAUCCCAUUUGUAUUUUUGUCAUUGGCUGCACGUCUGUGUAUUUCUUUGCUUGCAUUGCAUAUGCUUUUUGAGUACUUUUAUCUGUGUAAAAUAGCAUUUUGUUGGUUACUUAAUUGCUUUGUGUCACCCCAUUUUGUUUCAGUAAUAAAUAUUACUCUUGCUUAUAUGUUUUUCCCUUUUAAAUCAAUGUUUAUUUUGUUGUACAAUUUGCAUGAUAGUUAUUCCUUUUUCUUGGCAUAAUGCAAUGAUCCUACUUCACUUGAGUUAUGCAGAUAAUCUCAUAAGAUUAAGCUAUUUUUGAAUUUAUUAUCUAAAUAGGUUUAGAUUGCAUAGUGUAUAGUGCAAUUGGUUGGUCAUUUGUUUUGUUUUAUCACUCCUUUUUUUAUUAAUAAAUAUUAUUCUACAUAUUCUUCGUCUUACAUGAUGUUUUAUUUUGCUUUGCUGUUUUGCAAAUUAUCAUUGUUGCAUGCCAACGAUAUAUGAUGAUUUAGUUAAUUUGUAAACUCUUGUAUAUUUUAUUUAAAUAACUAUGUGAAUUUUUUAGUAAUACUAAAUUCUUCUUUCGAGACAAAUGGAACUAAGAAUGAGGGUUUUCGCCGUUAGAUGUUGAAGGUCGAAAGGAAAAAUGUUUGGAUACUUCUAAUAGUAUUUUAUUAAUAAAAACUUAAAUAAUAAUAUUUUAUAUUGAAAGUUCCAAUCUAAGAAAAUAAAAUAAAAAUAUUAAUUUGGCAAUCAAAUACAACUAAAAAAAAUAUUUUCUAAAUUUACCUUUUUCUAUUCAAACUUAUACCAAAAAUUAAUAACAUUCAAUAUUUUCUCCCAUAUUAUAAUUAAGGAUGACAAAACUGACCAUACCACAUCAUUUAGGUGUGAUAAAUUAAUUUUUUGAAUCUGUCAAUUUGUAUUGGUUCGGUCUAUCUAACCUGUCAACUCGUCAGGUCACAAGUGGGCAAGUUAACCCGCUAUUCUUUUAUCUUUGACACUUUUAAAGAUAAAUCUCAUACUUUUGAAAUUAAAAUUGGUGGUGGUCAAUGUUUUAUAUAGAAUUUUAUUUACAUCAAUUUCUUUAUACAUUAUUUUAUUCAUUGAAGUAUUGUUUAUAUUCACUUUGUUUUGUUAGAAUUAAACUUUCUUUGAUUAGAAUAUUAAAAUUUGAUUCAAUUUUACUGUUAUUCUUUACAUUUUUAUUGUGCAAGAAGGGAUAUCAAUGAAUAGAUCUAAAAUAAAAUAGUUAUAAAAAAAGAAAAAAAUUAAAAAAGUGAUGCACCAGCGCGCCAACCCACUAUCUGACUGAGUUUAUUAAUUUUAGCUCAUAUAUCUAUUACAGGCCAAUACGGAACUAAACAGGUGGGACCGAUCCGUUUUGCGACCCCUAAUUCUAACCAGGUGCUUUUUUAUACUUUGGAUUUCUUUCUCUCUUCCCUUGAAACCAAAAUAUUUUCUUAUUUUUUUGUUCACAUUCGAUGUCUCCAUGGAGAGUACACAUUACAUGUCUCUCUUUGUAAAUAUGUUUUCUCUUCAUUAAACUUAUCAAAAAAUUUAUCAAGAAUCACAAGUUACAAUUCUACAAUUUUUACUGAAAGCAAAGUGUAUAUUGAUGAAGUUGAAUAAGUAAUUGAAAAAAAAAAUUAUAUUAAUAUUUUUUUUUUGUCUCAAACUUUAACUUCUACUAUGCUUAAAAAAAGGAUUUUUACAUUAGUUUGGUUUCUAAUUCGAGUAUUAGUUUUCUAAUCACAACAAUUCGAUUUCUGUCAUUUUAGAUGGGAAAUGGAUGGUACAGAGCAGCUUCGAGAUUUCAUGAAACUGUGUCUAAGUCUAAAUAUUCCUUACGACAUUACCAAUGAUUUCACAAAAGAGGUAAAAAAACAUGGAUUAACCCUAUAGAUACCCUAAAAAGAUUUGUAGAAGCCAAUUUAUUCUAUGUUAAUUUUGUGAUUUUCUUUAUGCAUGUCACAUCAAUUAUUUUGUUUGAAUAAGUAGAAGAAAUUUUUGGAAAACAACGAGAAAUAGAAAAAUGAAGUAUUUAUGAAACAAUGGGUGCGAUUGUUGAAUGCUUUCAUGGAAGAGUGUAAAUCGGCAUAAAUUAGGAACCAUUUAAAAUUAAUAAAAAAGUUGUCACGUGAAAAAAAAAAAAAAAAAAUAAAAAAAUAAAAUAAUAUAUAUAUAUAUAUAUAUAUAUAUAUAUAUCCCAAAAAUGUGGACAUGUCCAAACGAUGUCGGUAUCAUUGGAACUUCAAACAUAUGAUCGAAGAUUGUCAAGCUUUGAAGAACAAAAUACAAGAGCUUAUUCAGAUCGAUUAUUUGUGCAAGUUUGUCCAAACAAACAAAAGUUUGUCGAUCCCCACAAAGGGAAAGAUACCCUUUUAGAGAGCAAAAAGAGCAAUACAUUCGAUGUGGCCGAGAAGGAUCACGUUGCUUUGAAGACAACCGACGCCCUACAAAACAAUAGAGAAGGAGCGAAAGUCCUAUAGGACGGGGUCGACCUCAAAGUGAAAGUCCUUGGUGGAACGAUCGCUCGAGAUGUGGCGUGCACGAGGUUAUAUACACCAUCGUUGACGGGAUUCCAUUGGGAGAUAACAGUCGAAGGGAGGGACGAUCACGUCUAAGUCUUUCUCGGGAAAGCAGAAUUCCCAAACAUUGUGCGGGACAAAUAAAUACGAUCACUAGAGGAUUUGAAGGGGAGGAUGUUCUAGUUCUGCUCGUAAAAAGCACCUUCGGACUAUCCAAUCGGUCCACUCAGUAACUACUAGGGACCGACCGAGAAUCCCCCUAAUUCUUUUCACAGAUGACGAUUUUACUACUAUUGAUCCGGCCCAGGACGAUCCCAUGGUCAUCACUGUAGAGAUCGAUAAAUUCGCCAUCACUAAGGUCUUAGUGAAUCAAGGUAGCUUGAUCAAUAUUUUAUACUAGAAGAAUUUAAAAAAAUGUGAGGAUUCUAGAAUCAGAAAUCCAACCCUAUGACAACCAAAUUGUAGGUUUUCUAGAGAGCGAGUGGGCACACGGGGUUACAUCGAAUUGUAUACCACAUUUGGAAAGGUAGAUAUCUUUGCAAAACUAUAAAGAUUAGGUACGUUCUAGUAAAAACAAAUACUUCUUGUAAUAUAUUGCUUGAUUGGUCAUCCAUUAAUCGCCUGAAAGCAAUAGUGUCCACUCCACACUUUGCAAUGAAGUUUCCCUCGGUAAUAGGUGACAUAGUUACCGUUCAUGUCGAUAAAAAAAUAACUCGCGAAUGCUAUGUCGCAAGCUUGAAAGUUUAAUCAACUAAUCGACUUUACAUGACAUCUCCACACGAACGGUCACCAGAAGAAGAGAACGCUCGCUAGGAUCUAAAGGGCCAAUCAGAGAUCGGUCUCGAGAGAGAAAAUCCCCAAAAAAUGAGCACAUGGUUGCCUUGGUCGACCUUAACCCUCGACUGCGGAAGCCCGCAUUGAACCAGGCAAGGACCUUCGUUACCCCUAUUGUUGAGUUGUGCCUUCAUUGUCAUAUUAUUUCCUUGGAUUUUUUAGAGGAUUGGCAGAAGCUUGAUGGAGGGAAUGGAACAAGGAUGACCCCAAUGGAGCUAUGGAUUCUUUGAGGUGCAUGAAGAGUAGGGAGAGUGACUGGUUGGGCCAUAUCACUUGGAGAGGUGAAGAAGAAGACCAAAGGUGUCUAUCCUAGAGAGGUUUAGACAAGAGAGUGAGUAAGUUAGCAACUUGGUAGCAUAACUCUCUCAAAUUGAUCUUAUUAAAAUGUGAGCUAAACACCUCAUUAUAUAGUGAGAGGCUCGACCAUUUGCUUACAAGAAAGGGUGGGAAAAUUCAAACUAAUUAAGUUUGAAUUAGGCAUCUAAAAUGAGAUCACAUGGUAAGCAUGUUCAAGUGUGCUUUGUGUGACCUAUUUAGGUCUAAAUGACCGACCUAGGUUAAUUAAGAGUCUUCAUGAAACCCUAAUUUAACAUAGGUUGGGUUUUAGAUGCCUAAUUUUAACUUUAAUUAAAAAUAAGAAAAAUUAAACUAAAUUUCAUAUUCUACUUUAGCAAGAAAAUAAAUUCUACUCUAGAGAAAUUACAUUAAGUUUUGGCAUUCUUGAACAUAUAUAAAAGGGUGUCUCUGCCAUCAAUAACAGAGUCUCAAUCUUCUUGAAUCUUCUUUGCCAUUGACCUAGUGGUUGGUCUUGAGCUGGUCCUUUUGCCAUCAUCCCCUCCCUCUUAAAGAGGAUUUGUCCUCAAAUCACAUGUCUAUGCCUUUUUCAUUUGGAGUACCUGUUAGAUCCAUAACAUUAAAGGUAGCACGUACUUCAUAUUCCUCAAGCAGGUCUAUUUGAUAUGCAUUAUUAUUGAUUUUCUUGCGACUUGGAAAGAACCAUCUCCCCAGAGACUAAGCUUAGACUUCUUUUGGUUAGGGAAUCUAUUUUUUCUAAGGUGAAGCCAAACCCAAUGUUGUAAGUUGAUUUUUGGAUGGUUCCAUUUUAUGGUGACACUUUACUUAAAGUUGAAAUUUUAGCAAUUUAUUGGUGAAACCUAAGGAAGAUUCUCACUAGACACGAACUUAACCAAAUGGUUAAGUAAGUGUGAAGGUUCACUUCACAAAGGCAAAGAUGAAAAAUCAAUAUAAAGUGAUAGAUGGAAUGCAAUGUGGAAUGAAAAUGACAAUAAGGUAAGCAUCAAUGGUGGUCAUGGCCAAACCAAAUGAUGAACCAUAAGCAUAUAACAAAAGCAAAACCAAGAGCAAGAAUUCAAGAUAAAGACAUGUAUAAAAGGUGGGAAUGGAAAUGAAUUAAAAAGAGUGGGAGAAGAGAAGCUUAUGGAGCGAUGGUGAAAAUGGUUCACGCCACUUGGGGUGUAGUAGCCACCAAGAUGAGUGAAGGGCCGUCACUUGAGAGUCUCACACAACUUAAGAUAAGAUCUAGCCAAGAGGAUUCAAACCUCACAAACACCUCACACAAUUUGUGCAGAGUAACUUUUAUAUUCAAAAUUAAUAUGUAAUACAUGGAGUAAGGCACCCUAUUUAUAGGAAUGAGUGCCUUGGUAGCCAAGAAAGGCAAGGGUAGGAUGGGAAAUAAGGGAGGGGCGGCCAAGGAGGGUUGACUAAGGUCAAAACUGCACCUUUAGGCUUUCCUUCUAGAAAUUAUGUCAAAAACCCUAAUUCUAGGUGCCUUGUCUUGAAAAGGUGGGCUUGGAUCAAGCCCAUUUUGCUAUGAGCACUCCUAUUUAUGCUAAAGGCACCUAUUCUAUCCUAUCUUGCUAUUUGGACUCCUCAAGUGAGCCCAAUUUAUUUACAACUUAUUUUAUUCUUAAGAAGACCGACAAGAAGAAUAUAAGAUGCUCUGGUUUGUGUCCAUUUCUCUCUUUGGUGAGGUUUGCUAGAUCCUUGGUGAGGUCUUUACUUGAUUGUUGAGAUGACUUCUCAUAGUGUGCAUCCUAGGUGAUCUCCUUGUUGGCUUGGUUUGUAUCAUGCCCCCCAGGUUUGAGAGAAUUCAACCUUGAAUUUAGAACUCUUGCAGAUAACAUAGUUAGUUUGUUCACAUAUAAGAUAGUGCAAGGUGUGGGAUGUGAAACAAACUUAUGUUCUUUGAGCUUGGGAAGUUCAAAAAGGUAAGCCAUUCUUACAAGCCAUGUUGGGAAAGAAUAUUUGAGGAUGAAAGGGCUUGGUGAUAAAAAUACUCUCAAAAGGUGAGAACCCUUAGGAGGUGUUUGAUGUUCAUCCCAAAGUUUCUUUGUCCAAGAUGUCAAGUAAUUUUUAUUUGGUAAUGAAAAAGACAAGGAAGAAGUACACCUUGGAGGUGCAAUUUGUAGCAUGACACGAGUCAACAUGAUUGAUUUAGUUGUGGAAGAUGAUAUUUUGUGACUUGGUUUAUCUUUUCUUUCUUUCUCCUUUUCUUUUUCUCUUUUAUUUUUCAUUUUUAUUUGGUCCUCAUGGACCUCUCUUGGAGAAAGAGAUUUUAAGGUGAUCUUGUGCCCAUGGAAGGUAAAAGAAAUGUGGUUAGUAAGGCCAUCAUGUAAAGUCUUUUUAUCAAAUUGCCAUGGCCUUCCUAGAAGAAUAUGUGUGGCGUACAACAUCACACAAGACCUCAUCCUUAUAUUUUCAAAUUGAGAAAGCUAUGAAGACUUGUUUAUUGACCAAAAUUCCCCCCUCUUUACUAAGCCAUUGGAGCUUGUAGGGCUUUGCAUGAGAUGGUGGUUAACCCAAGCUUUUCCACCACUCUUGUGCUUGCCACAAUUGUACAACUACCCCCAUCCACAAUUAAGGAACACAACUUGUUAUUAAUGAGGCACCUAGUGUGAAAAAUGUUUUCUCUUUGACUUUCAUCAAGAGGUUUUUGGACUUGGCCAAGCAUGUGCCUCACUACUAACAAAUCUCCCUCACAUGGAAUUUCAUACUCUUCCUCACUUUGGCUUUUUGGAGAGGUAGGGGACUUAGACCUUUGAGAGCUAUGGUCACUCAUGACAACUCCCUCUUUAACCAUCAUAUUUCUUUUAGAAGGAUGCAAUGUGCCCAAAACCUAAACCUUUAAAACACUUUUGACUUGAGGUUUUGGUGAGUGACUUAGGUGUAGAAGUGGAGGAUUUAGAAUUUCUAGGAUUGUAAGUGGAAUCUUUCACAAAAUUUGAAGGAAAAGUUUUUGAAGAAACUUUGUUUUUGUUUUUCCAAGAUGAUUGGCAGUAGCCAUCAUUAUAAGAGUUUUUGAAAUGAGUUUUCUUUGAAAGUUGAGAUUCAACCUUGAUGGCAAGGUGAACUAAGAAACUUUGAAUUAUGAAGAAAAAAAACAAAAGAUAAAUAUUCCUGUUGCAAAAUGAUAAAAGAUGAAAUAAUAUUUUUACUAAAGAAACACGGGGAAAACUCACUCUUACAAAAGCAUAAAUAAUUGCAAAAUCUUUUGUAAUUUUGAGUUUCGCAACAUAUAGAAUUUUGAAUCUCGAUGUGUAUAAAUAAAAAAGACCAUGCGAGGUGCCUUCUUAAAAAACUCGUGUAUCCUCUUUUAACUUUUGAGUAUUCUUUAUGAAAAAAAUUAAAUUGUUUCUUGAAAAUUUCUAUAUAUCGCAUUCUUGUAAGUGUUCAUUCGAUCAUUCUUUUAUUCACUAUCUUCAAUUUUACUUUCCUUAAAAUUAUGAAUAAAAUUUACAUUUUUACUUUCGCUUGCACUACUUUUAUACAAAUUGGUUUAAGAGCUAGUUUUAAAGUUUUUGUGUGAAAAAUAUAGAAAAUUGUUUUUUUUUCUUGUUUUCGAUUCUUGUACUCUUGCUUUAAAUGAUUUUUCAUACUUUACUUAUUUAUAGUUGUCAAAAUAAUUUAGACAAAUUAAUAUCUCAAACUAGUUUACAUGUUAGUAAGCAAGAUAGGUGGUCUUGGUCGUAAGACUUAAGAGAGACACUAAAACAAUUGAUCAACCUUUAUAGUUCUAUUUAGAAGUGAAAUAAAAGAAAUGAAAGAUGAAAACAAUUUGAUUUCUUGCACUAUAUAAAACUUUAUAAGAAACAAUUUGAUUUCUCACAACAAAGAAUACUUAAAAUAAUGAUAAUGAGUUUUUUUCUAUCCACUUAAAAUGAAAUGAGUUUUUUUUUCAAGGAAUAGAGGGUACUAGGUCUCUUCUCCCCUCCCCUCACAUGGUUUUUGCUAUUUAUAUACAAACCAAAAUUCAAAAUUCUAUAUGUUACUUUUUUUUUAGGACGCUUUCCUAAUAUAAGUAAUAAGUCUUUUCCAUUGAUUAUUGCCAUUAAUUCUAUAAAUUAUCUAGCAUUAAUUCAUUGGAGGCAUAAUCCAUAACAAUAAUCUAAUCCAUUGAAUCGAGGAGAAGUGUAGCCUCAAUUUUCCUAUUAAAAUUUGUAUCUAAAACUCUAGAAAUUCUUUGAAAUUAUAAAGCACGAUAAUUCCUCUUGUAAGUUUCUUUCUUCAGAUUUUAUACUUUAACUUUUCUUUCGUUUUUGAUCUCUUGAAAGAUAAAGAAAAGGUAGAAUAUGUAAAAGUGAUGAAGAAAUGAACAAUCAUAUAAUCCAUCAUGAACUAAGAAUUUCCAAAAUAGAAUCCCAAUUAUGUAAAUAAAAGCUGCCAAAAUUAGAAAUAUCUUCAAUGUAUAAAACAAAAAUUACCAAUAUGUUCAGAGGAUAGUAUAUGAUUGAAAUGGAAGAAAAAAAAAAUAGUAACGGUAGAACAAAAAAUAGAUAUAAGAAGUUGUCCAAAGUCUUAAUCCAAUAUGAACAAUUCUAGUUCAAGAAACAUAAUUAAGUCACAUUGUUCUUUAGUUACAAAUAGAAUGGGUGAUUCUUUUGUUGUGUCGAGAAGUGUGCCUAACAAUAUCUAACAGCAUAUAAAUCUUCUUUUUAUUUUUUAUUUCAUUUGGGAAUUUCUCAACAAAUUCAAUACUUCUUAAUAUUGAAGAUAUUUUGAAUUGGAUUACUUGCAUCUUUCUGGCCAUACUACAAAUUUGUUUUGUUUAAUUAAAUUUUUAGAAGUUUUAUGAUACUCUAUAGAUUAUGGAAAUAUUAGAUCAUAAUCUAAAAUACUAUUACAAAGUAGGAAAUUAAAAUAUUAUUCAGAAUAUUUUAAAAUUAUACGGAGUAUUUGGUAAUAUCAAACUUCAUAUUAGAAAAAAAUACUAUUAUAUAAUUUAUUUAUUAAAUCUUGUUUAUUUCGUAAAAGAUACCUUAUCUCGAGAACAUCCUCUAAGGAUUUUAUAAUGAAUUACAAUUUUUUAUUAUCCUCUUUAUUUUAUUUGUGUUAUUAACAUUAAAGACUAAUAAUAACAGUAUUAUUAUUGUUACAUAAUUAAUUUCACUUAAAACUUUAUUAUAUUGCACAAUAUUAAUAAAAAGUGUAUCAUGGUUCUAGCUAGGGCUUGAUUUCCUAGUACCUAUUUUCUUUUAUAAUUAUCUAAAAAGCAGACUUUACAUGUGAUUUUUUUCCUCAAUAGCCUGAUUUGAGUAUUAUUUCUCACUAUAGCACCACUGUAGCAGCAUUUGCACACUUUAUUUUCUAUAAUAGUAUUAAUUUGUGCCAUGGCUAGAAUUCAGAUAUUAGGAUUUCUUAUUUGCAAAAAAAUAAAUACUUUUAGAAUUUGGUUUCCAAAGAGUCGAAUUUUCAUAGUAUUUUUUUCCAAUGGUAAUGAACAAAAUCAGAAUAAGGUCGUUUAAAAGGUGAUAAAAAUCCAGUUUCUAAAAAUUAUAAUUUUGACUUUUAAUUAUUCAAUAACUAAAUGUUAUAAGGAUUAGUUACUGAUGGGUCAAAUUCUAUGACAAUUUUCAACUUUUAUUUUUAAAACCCAUACAAUAACAAACGUACAAAAUAAUAACAACAUCAAUAAAGGGUUAAUAAUGGUUUUAAAAACAAAACCAACUAUGAACAUACACUAACUUAUUCCUCGUUCAAUUGAAUGUUUUUCAAUGCUGUCCCACAUGUUGGAAGUAAUUUAUUCCAUAAAUCAUAAAUUCAAAUGUCAAAACUGGUAUGAAGUUCAUAUAAUUUCUAAAACCAAUAAAACCAAUGACACAUUGUACAUCAUCAUCGUCUUCAAUAUGGAUAUAACUAUAUGAAUUCCUAAUUUUAUUCGUCGUCUUCAAUAUGGAUAUAAUGAUAUGAAUUCCUAAUUUUAUUCAUAUACACUAGACACUGAUAACAAAAAUCAACAUUAUAUAACUUAAAAUCAUCUAGAACAAACACACAUAGAAUGGAGUUUAUUAGAAUUGAUAGGGGUAUGAAUUGAUCAACCUCAAUGAUGAUUUGGUCAUUACUCACCAAAACCAUGAUACUUGACCAGAUCAGUAUACAAUUGGUUGGAUGUUUUGUGUAGCUAGUUAUGACCUACAUUUAUAGUUGAUAAGAAAUGGCAUCAAUUAUCAAAGCAAAAAAUUUCUAACAUAUUUAAUUUACACUAUUCAACUUAAGAUUCUUUAUAAUUGUAUGAAAAUGUUUAAAACGGGUAGGUGUUGGAAUAAUGAUUUUGCAUUUGAUUUCUUUAUAAAAAAUAAGAAAUCAAAAUCAAAAUCAGUAUGGUUGAGGGAAAAAAAAGUCUACAUAUGUCAUGGCAUUAUGUAUUAUAUUAAACAUAUAAAUUCAUAUUAGUAAUUACGAUAAAUACUGGACCAAAAAUAUAUUAAACCUAUAAAAUUCAUAUUAGGCCUCAAGGGUAUAAAAUUUCAUAUUAAGUCUCAAGGUGUUUCUACCAACGUUAAAAUAUUGAUAUAUUAGAUUAAAUAAAAUUUCAAAAUAGACGGUUUAUUAUAUAUUUUUACGUUAAAAAUAACCGGGUUAAUAAAAAAUAACGAGACAAAUACGAAAAAUAUUUUUUAUAAUUAUUAAAAUGCAAUAAAAAUUAACGAAAUAAGAAAAAAAUUGGCAAACAAAUAUUAAUGAACAAAAAGAUACAAAAAAGAGCAUGUGGAAUCUUAGAUGAGAAAAGAAGAGAAUAAAAUAAAUUUGUUCAUUUCUUUCAAAAGAUCCAUGGGGUCAAACCCUUUAUCUCUAAGCCUCCAUGCGAACCGAAAGACCUAACAUUUCCAAGUUCCAUCGGCUUUCUGGUGGAGGCUUUUCAUUCAGACUCACUUUUUAUCUACCUAUGAAUUAUUAUUAUCACAUAAACUAGUAGAACAUUAAUAAUAAAUAUAAAUUAAAAAUAUAACAAUUGAAAAAAAAUGUGAAAGGCUGGUUGCGGAAUAAUUGAUAAGAAACGCAAAGAGUCCCUUCAAAUGGCCUUUCUCUGAACGGAUCCAAACGCGAAUUUGGAUCCGAUUAUUGUGCGCUUCCUAACUAAGCCGCGUAUGAAAUUGGUGUUUUCAUAAGGCUACUCAAAGAAGCACGUUCAGGAAGUGAUUUUGCCAACAGAGAAAACAAAUUUUGGUUUAGAAAUUAGGGUUUCUUCUCUGUCAUUUAAAAUUGAAGGUAUUCAAACAUUGACAAAGAAGAAAUCCUAAUUCAUACACAAAACUUAAAACACAGGUAACGCACCUUUAGAUCACUCUCCUCAUAUCACUCUGCCACAGCUGUCGCAUACUCUGCGCAGUCGUCGAAGAGGAACGUGUUAGGGAUUGAAACAAUAGGUGAAAUCAUGUGCAGAGAAUAGGUGAAGAACAAUACUCAUAAUAAAGAAAUGGAAAAUAAAUGCACUUUUUUUGUUUGAGAUUUAGGGUUUCUUCUUAUGUGAUUUUAAAAUGAAGGUUUUCGGAUUCUAUUCACCUCAUUACCCUCCGUUUCAUUUUUUUAUUUAUUUAGGGGGUUGUUCUUAUUUGGAUCCAAUGGAUAAUCUAAUAAUUGCUUUUUGCACCACUCUGAUUUCCUACUCCACCUCAUCGGAUAUAUAUAAAAACAAAUUUAGAAAAUCUAAUUCUAUUUCUUCCUCUUAGUUCACAUUUUAUCGGUUGUUCUCUCUUGUUCACUACACUCUUUGUCAUUAUAAUAAAUAAAUAUUAAUCAUCAUUAUAUAAUUAAAAAACUUCUUUAUGAAAAAAUUCAUUUUAACAUUAGGAUUCAAAUUCUUUCUAAACUUAUAUAUUUAAAAUGUUAGAAGUAAAUAUUUGAUUCUAAAUAUUUAAUAAGAUUCAAGUUUAUUUUGAUAGACUCUUUAAUGCGUUAAAGACAAUAAGACGGUCUAAUAUGUUAAACACCAACACAAUAAUAACAUUCUUUCUUACUUUUACACAUGAAAAUACUUCGUUUAGUAAACAUUUUAUAUUUUAUAAUGUUUGUUAUCAUUAAAAUCUCAUAAAUUAUUUAUAUACAUAAGAUCGUUUAGUGAGGUUUUAGAUUGUUUAAAAGUAAUCAAACCAUCUAAUGUCUUAACAAUCUCUCCAUUUUUUAUGGUGACAAAAACUAUAAGCUAUAUAAAAAAACUAAUGUGUUUGCCAACUGUUAGGAUCGACUCCCUUUGGAGCCAUUGGACCCUGUUCUUAUUUGGGACAAGUUGACCAUUUAAAUUAUGCAGACCUGGAUAGUAGGCUUAAGUGCUAGGGUCGGGUCUGAGCACGUCUGACACAAGUUGUUAUAAAGAAAUCAUCAUGGUUGUUAUAGAGGUUGAGGGGGUUGUUGAGGAGGUGGUGGAAGGGUUAGGGGGCUCUUAGCUAAUUUAGUAUUUCAACAAAAGAGUUUUGGAUUUGGGUGACAGAGGAUUGAGCACCUUGUUCUAGCCUUUGAUUCUAUCUUUCCUUCAUAUCUCUUAAUCGUUGUUGGACGACUUCUCUUUCACUUUGAAAAGCUUAUUGGAUUAUCAAUUACAUUAUGUUGAAUAUUGCGUAUGGAAUUGCUUGAGCAACACAAGAAGAUGAAAUUGGUUUUGGAGAAAACACUAUAUCCAAGAGUUGAGAGACUUAUGCAUGUUCUUUAGACUCUUGCCGAGAGGCUUUGUGGUUCUUAUUAUUUGUAAAGCCUUCUGAAGGAAUUCUCCUAAGCAACUUCAAGAGACUAAGAGAUAACUACUUUAGGGACUUGAUCAAUGAUGACUAUUUUACGGAAAACGUACCGAGUCAGAAAUAAUAUUUUGUCCCUAUAGAGGAUAUCGAACCCACAAGGAACAAUUCUAAAAUCUCAUGUAUAGUAUUCACUAAAUAUAAGAAAAUGUGUAAAAGUUUGUUGAUAGGUUGUCUAUUUGUGAAUUUGCAAGAAAUUAAAUAAGGCAAAGUAAAAGAUUUGUAUGAGUCAAUUGGAAAAAUUGAGAUUGAGGUUCAUCCUUCUCACUCGUCUGUAUUUUUUAAAAGCAUGUAAUAUUAAAUCUUGAUUGAUAUUGAUGCACAUAUAAAAAUCCUUCAUAUCGAUUCCACGCAUACAAAAUUAUUAAGAGAGUCUCUUAAAUAUUGAUUUUUUGCAUAUUUAUAAAAAUUCCUUAUCAUUACGAACAUAUGUUAUAAAACAAUUAACAUUUCAAAUAUAUUCCUAGCAUUCAAAUAUUUUAAGCAUUAUCAUUUAGGUCAGAUGUUUAGAAAUACUUUCCAAUCAAAUCUAAGGAUUAAAACAUGAAUAAUUCAAGCUUUGAGAAUAAAAUGAUAACACCAAUCAUCAAUCAAAAACUGAAUAUUAUAGAUAAAUAUCACCUCAAUACAUAAAAGUUUGAACAAAUUACUCUCAAUCCCAAAGGAAAGAAUUAGUCACUCAUGUUGGCCAUUACAAGUAUGGAAAGCAAGAAAAGAAGAUCCAGGAUGUUUCUCCUUAACGAUCAUUUCCUCUAAGGUUUUCUAUCUCUCUCUAUUCUCCCAAUAAUGUUUAGGCUUAUGCCCCAUGCCUUCUAUUUAACCUAAUUGGGUUUGAGCUAAGUGAUAUCUCGCUUAAGCGAGUUAUUACUUGCUUAAUCGAGUUUGAUGAGAAAAAACCCAACUUCACUGGAGUGAACUCGCUUGGGUAAGUUCCUUUGGAGUGAUCUUGCUUAGGCGAGUUUGGGCGAGUUUUGGACGAGAUUCCAAUGUUCCAACUUUGUCUUUUUAUCUUAUUCAUUCUCCUUUAGCCUUUUCAUCUUCAUUUUCCCAUAGAAUCCUAAAAUUAACACAAAUUUGGAAAUAAGUUGUUCACAUUCAUCUUACAAUUUAAAAUAUGUAAAAAGGUUUAAAUUCCUAAAUUAGGGGUUGAAUUAUAGCUAUUUUAUCAAUAAAAAUCCAUAAGUGCCUAUCUUUUAAUAUGAAAUAAUAUUGAAUUACGACACUUAUCAAUAAACAACUUUCUUAAGAGGAUUAAUGGAAACACUCAUAUGCAUAUCUAAGAUCUUUUCUACUUCCAAUUUGAUAGCUUCUAUUUCAUCCAUGUGAAGAGGGAAUGACUUUGUAGCCGUUUUAUGCCAAUCCAAAAGGAAGAUUAUAUUUCCCUUUAAUAAAUCCCCCGUUAAGCAUUUAUGUGAAACAAUAGCUUAAACAUCGUGCUCCAAAAAAGGCUUGGUCUCAGCAAACGAUGUCUGAUGAAAAUUAUAACGACUAGUGACACCAUGUGGAAUGCGUUGAACAAAUUCUCAGAAGGCAAAAUCAGGCUCCUAAAGAAACAUGGUGGUGAAGUCAUUAAUGAAUAUGUGUUGAGAGCAAGUAAACAAACAAAUGAUAUCAAGAUGCAUAUUGAACUCUAUGUCCUUAAACCUCUUUAGAGUAGGAGGAAUGAAAAGAUAUGAUCCUUGACAAAUGGCUAAAUCAUAAUGUUGCCAUUGUUUAUCAGGUUGUCUAAAGAAGGACAUAAUCCAUCAGUCAAUGGUGAUAAAGACCUUAGUGUUUGAUCCAUGGGCCAUAGUCACAAAGAAUCGGCUAGCUUGACUAUUUUAGCUAACUUGUAUGUGACUAGGUGAGGUUUGGUUAGACUCGUAAGUCUAGAAUGGUUAGGGGGAUAUAUUGGUUGUUGCCAUGUUAGAGGGUUCUAGCAUGACAAUAACAUCGUUUGGUAUGCUAAGGUUUGUAGGUGAAGGUUGGAAGGUUGAGGAUGGUUGAAAAGGCCAUGUGUUGGAUUUUGGGGUGAAAAUAUUGAAAGUUUAUGGAAGGUGGGGCGGUAGGUGAUUCUAGUGAGGAUAUUAUCAAGUCAAAGUGAUGGAUGACCAUCCUUGCUAAAGUCACCAUUCUUCUAAGCUAAAAGCUGAGGUUCAACUUGGAAGAAUUCAGAAAUAAUAUGUCUUAUUUUUACAUAAAAUGUAAAUAGUUGAAUAGCAUUUUCUGGCUUUGUAUUUCUUAGCCAACUUUAGAAUAAGAAUAUAUUUCUCUCCAAACAAGACUACCUUGGACGCCUCUUUCUUUACAUGUUGACUCUUUAAGCUCCUUAAGAAGCUAGGCGCCUCCUUCCACGACUCUCCAAAUCACUCAAAGACACUUGACAAACUAUGAAUAGAGAGCUUCUUGUAAAUAGGAUUGCCACAUGGCAAGCUAGGAAUAGAGAGUUUUCUAUACAUAUAAUUGCCACAUGACAUGUUAGGAGUGGAAAUUAUUUUGAGAACCAAUUAUCCUUUUUAGGAGUCUCUAUUAUAAAUAAAAUACUUAUCUCUUGUAAUUUUUAGACUUGAUUGAUAUAUGAAAUUGUGGUUCUAAAAUUCUCAGCACACUUAUCCAAGUCUCUCUUCUAUGAUGCUUCUUGCAUUCUUAGAAACUCAAGGAAGUUGGCUUAACUUCUUCCUUGGUCCUUGCCCUUUGUAAAACUCAUACCCAAACCAAGAACUUCCACGAUCUUUCGGUGCUUCCUCCACAAAUCUACAAGUCUUUCGUUACCUUCCAUCAACCCCCAUGAAACAUUCAAGAAAAAUUGCAUCAGAAAGGGCUUCAUAACCUUAGACCUGAUGGGUGUAGGAUAAGGUAAAGUGUUUGGGGGUUGAGCUAGUUGUUCAAAUGUAAUAGAGUUUGAACAAUUAAGGUUAAAGUCCUAUUAGGUUGAGGUAUACAAUAUCAGUAUAGGUGACUAUGAUUGUUGAUGUGAUGUUGAAGGUUGGGUUUAAAUGGGGGGUGAGUUUUUAUUUGUGGACGAUUUAGGAGAAUUAGGAGGUAGGACAUCUAGGUAAGGAAUAAUGUGAAUAUCAAAAUAUAACUUGGUAAGGAACUUGCAAGACCACGUUCCAAACCCUCAAAUCUAUUCGAAUAAUCGAACGAUUUCAACAUUUGAUAUAUAUGAUAUGAACGUCUAUUUUAGCUAAACGAUAUUUGUUCGUCAUUAAGUAAUUCUAGAGGCAAAUUAAAAAAUAACAAAAAAUAAAAAUAAAAUAUUUGAUUGAUUGAAAAAAUGUGAAAAACUACUUGAGGAAUAACUAAUAAGAAACUUAAAGAGUCCUUCAAAAGGCAUUUAUAUGAACAGAUCAAACACAAAUUUGAAUCUAAUUAAUGUGUGCCUCCUAACUAAGUCGCUUGAGAAAUUGGGUGUUUUCAUGGAACUACUCAAAGAGGCACGUUCAAGAAGUGAUUUUGCAAAUAGAGAAAAUAAAUUUUGGUUUAGAAUCUAAGGUUUCAAAUACUGAUAAAGAUGCAUGAACUUCAUAUACAACAUUCAAAAAUAGGUAACACACCUUUAAGUGAUCUCAAAUUGGAUGUAAGCUUGGCAUGCAUUAGGUGGUUGAGGUGCCUCUAUACCAUGUCAAAAAGGACACAUACUCACAUUAUCACAAUCAUGACUUGUCAACGUCCAUAGAAAGACGUGCUAACUAUAGGUAACCUUAGAUGAAAUAUGAAUCUAGCAUGCAUUGGGUGAUUGGAGAAUCAUUGCAUGCAUAACAGUGACACAUGCACUCCACCAAAAAGCCUUGACUUGUCAACGUCACUACAAGAGCGUGCUAACCAUAAAUAACCUUGCAUGGGAUGCAAGUUUGACUUACACUCGCACAACCUUGAGUGCUUAAUGUUGAAAUAGUUAUGGUCCAACCCAUGUUACAAUCCUAUAAGAAUGACAAUCCAACACCACUAGUUCAUUUAUCAAUUAUUUCACAACAUAAUCUCGCGCACAACCUUGAGUAGUCAAAGUCAAAAUAGUUAUGGUCUAACCAAUGUUACAACCCUAAAAGAAUGACAAUUAACACUAAUAGUUCAUUUAUCAAUUAUUUCACAACAUAAUAGCAGUACUAUAAUACAAAUACCACAAAAAAGUCAUGAAAAUCAACUACCAAAUUCCAAUUCAAAGUUCUUAAUAAAAGAAAGUGUAAGACUCCAUACAAAUGAAAAUUAACAUUGACAAAUGAUCAAAUGUUAGAAAAUGACUCAACUUCAUCCAUGCUUAUAAUAUCAUAAUAUUGUUGUUGUUGCUCUGACCUCAAGUCAUUGAGAUAAUAUUACUAAGGUCAAUCAUUGCAUUUGAGAUAUUUUUUGCUUUGGAGUUUGGAGUUUUGUCAUUGUAUUGUCCUUAAAAGGUGUUUCGGUUGACGAGUCCUUGUCCCUCAAGGAAAAAGUGGUUCCAAAUAUGAACCCUCGUUCCUUGAGCCCUCGGUUGGGGGGAAUUCGUUCCCUUUAGACCUCGAUUGGAGGGAAUCCGUUCCCCUUAAACCUCGACUGGGAGACUUGUUCCGGUACACCCAAUAGUUUCACAUUGUUCGAUUUAUAAGAUUUCAAAACUUAGUAAAAAGUCUCUUUGAUACAUUUAGUCAAUUGUUUUAAGUUGUUAAUUGACUAUUCUAAAAAAAAAAUUAAUAAAAAUACACUAUUUUAAUUAAUUAUAUUCUCAAUUAAUUGAUUAUUCUAUUCUUCGAUAUUUUUUAGAAUAAAUUUGAAUAUUUAAUUAUUUACUUAAAUGUGUUAAUCAAUUAUUCUCAUAGAUCAGCUAAAAACACAUUUGUAUGUUCUUUAUUUUAAUCCAUUAUCAAAAUUGAUAACCGAUUAUCCAGUUCAAAAAAUAUAUUAAGAACAAAUUAAUCAAUUACAUAAAACCUUAAUCCAUUAAAACACAUUUAAAACCUUUUACAAACAUUUUAGGGACCAUAUAUUACUACUUCAACCUAAUCGAUUAAUUCAUUUGAAAAACACUUUGAAAUUAUUUUAAACCAUUUCAAUUAUAUUUUAUAACAUUUCUAAUAAGGCUAUGAUUUGAGUGAUUAGUUACCAUGAUAUUGUGAUUACCUUAUGUGUAAGACUCACAAACGCACACUCAUGCAAAAAAAAGCUAUGAACACACAAUACAUCUUUAUCAACAACAUCAUCCUAAAAAUCGACAACUAUAUCAUCUUCAAGAUGUAUGGCUUACCCCUAUUUUCAAGUCCAAUAAUUGGGUCAUUAGAGUCUUGAGGGAUUAAAAUAUCGUUUCAUUUGAUUAUUGAAUUCCAAUUAAAUGUGACACUCACACAUAAUCGUAUCAAUUUACAAAUAUAUACCUUUUGUGAAAAGAUUUUCAAAAGGGGUUGGCUGUGGAGUUGACACGAGGGUUGUUUAUAUCUAUUAUAUUUUCCAUGUAAGAAAUUAGUUUUUAGGUUCAAUGAAAUACCAAAUUCAUUUGGUUUCAUGUUUAACCCUAUAGAGUAGCACACCCAUUCUUAAUAGCAAAAUAAACACAAAAUCAUGUUAAGUUAAAUUAGAAGACAACUUAACACCACUAACAAAGCUAUUAAUUAAGGUGAUAGAAUGUUGGUUGAAAAUAAUAGAAAAAAAAUAACCCCUUAAACAUUUCAAGCUUUAAAGUGAUGACUAAAAUUAAUAAAAAAAAAAAAAUUAAGAUAACCAAGUAUUCUUUUUCAAAUAAUCAUUCCUGGCUAAGAAAAAAUAAAUUAUUAGUUUAGUGAUUCACAAAUGACAGGAUUGUUCAAUAAAGAGGAAUAAUGUCUUUUGUUGCAUACAAAGUUUAUGCAAUUUCUUAUAGUUUGUUAAGUGAACACGAACAAUGUUCUCUUUGAAGCUUCUAAGGAAGCAGUUCUAAAGAUUAGUGCAGUCAAUGUAAAUCCAUUUCUGGCUGUUGAACAAAUUUAGCUCACUUGAAUGUCUUUGUUAUAUUUGGUGAACUUAAUUGUGAAUGAUGCAUUAAUGUGCUUUCUGCAACAUUAAUUUCUUUUUUUUUUUAAUUUUUUACUUAACAUCCCAAUAUCCAAUAGCUUGAUGUAUGAUGAAAGUCUUCUCACAUUAAGUUUCUCAAAUAAAACUAAGUUCCUCAUUCAAAUUUAAUAUAGAGAUAAACCUAUAUCGAUAAGACAUGCUAAUUCACUCUAUUAUUUGAUAAUCUUUCUUCUGCAAAUUAAAAAUGGGGUUUUGAAUGAGUUUUAAAAUUGAAAAUCGAAUAGAAACAUUAAUAAAAAUGAAACACAAAACAAAAUAAUCAAAUAAACAAUACAUUGUUUAUGAACAAUUAAACUAUAAAAAUUGAAAUUAAAUGAGAUUAUGUAAAAUAAUUAAUCCUUUAUAUAGUAAUUAAUCUUGUGAGAACAAGUUCGGAUUUAAUCCUAUAAAAUGGACUGGUAAAAUAAGUAUUAAUUUAUAUUUAUAUAUUAUAAUUUAAAUACAUUCUUUAGACAAAAAGAUCUUAAAUAUAAUUUUUAACUCAAAAUUAUACAUCUUAAAAAUAUAAAACUAUAUAUUUAUGAAUAAUUUGAUGAAGGUUAACUUUUAUAAACUUGUACUAUUUAUUGAUCUUCUUUCUUUUAUUAAGAGUGAUGGUAGUCCGUUGGUUAAAUUGAUUAAGCUAGUUGUGAUAAUCUUUUCCUAUUUGGAUGAUAUGGCGUAUGAAGAAUUAUGCUCGUUUUCAGGAUAAGAUUGAGGUUUCUAGGGCUAUUUUGGUUAUUAAAGAUUUAAUUUGUCUAAAGCUUCAAUGAAGAAUGAUAUGUUCGAUUUCAAUGUGCUCAAGGUUUUUGGUAUUAACACUCGUACUGGUAAAGUUCUACGUCCUCUUCCUGUUAGAUGAGAGUUUCCUUCACCAGGUUGUGGGUUAAAUUAACAUUGAUGGGGCUCUAGGGGUUAUCUAGGUCUUGCCGCUUGUGGAAGUAUUUUUCGUGGGAGUAUGGGGGAGUUUAUUGGAGCUUUCUCUGCAUUUCUUGACGUUCGAACUGCUUUGGUUACUGGAUUUUAUGGAGUUAUAUAUGCUUUGGAGGAAACUCAAAAGUUGGGUCUUACUAAUAUUUGGCUGGAAUGUGACUCUGCCUUGAUUUGUGUUGCGUUUACUACUAGGACAAAUAUUCCUUGGAUGCUUCGUAAUCGGUGAAAUACUUGUCUGAAAAAAUCAGGUUUAGGGUUACUCAUAUUUUUCAUGAAGGGAAUGCGUGUGCUAAUAAGUUGGCUAAUUUAUGAUUUAUUCAUAGAGAAUCCUUUCAUUGGUAUAAUAGACUUCCAUCUAGUCUGUUCUUAGAAUUAUUUAUUAAUAGGUAUAGUCUAUCUAUGCAUCAUUUUUGUUAACAUAAGAGUUUUGGUCUAGUCCCCCCAUAUUUUUGUAUUUUUUUUUAAUAAUAUUUUUUUCAUAUGAUGGUAAAUGAUUGUUGUUACUUGAGGUGUCACUGAGAUGUCAAGUAGAAUAGUGAUUCCUAACAUGAAAGUUUUUUAUAAAAAAAAAACAAAAAAACUUAUACUAUUUAUUAGAAUAAAUUAUAUUCUCAUCUUCAAAUAAAUAUACAUAUUUUCAUCAUAAAAAUAGUUUGUUUAUCACAAAAUAAUUUUGUGCUUAGUGAAAAUUUAGGAUUGCGCUUUCAUGAAUUAACAAUGCUUUUGUCGGGCAACCUUAAGUAUUAUUACUUGUUAGAUUUUAUAUGUUUUAACAAUAAUAGCAUAUAAUAAGUAGUUGUUUCUAUUUAAUUAUUUCUGCAAAGUUUUGCAGUGAUUCAUUUUGUAGUUUAUUUGUUGUUUAGGUAUUUUGAAAGUGUGGAUAAUUUAAGAAAAUGGUGAGGGUGAUGCAUGUUGAGUUGGUUUAGAGACUUUGUUAGCUGGAUUCACUGCCCCUUCCAAUUAUAUGUAAUUUAUGAACAUCCAUAAUUUUUAAAUGGACUAACUAAUCUCGUUAUUUUAUUCUCCCUUGUUGGCCAUGUGUUUUUGUCAUGAUUGAGAACUUGAAAAAUACAUUUUUAAUUGUUCACAAAACUUCCAUUGGAAGAGAAUUGAAAUCAUAGCUUUAGAUGCAUUUUGCACCUAUGAUUGGGCGUUACAUGAUUGCUUCAAAUUCAUGGUUGAUUAAUAGGGAGUUACAAUGCAAAAGUUUCACAAAACUUCAUUUCCCUUAGACAUGAAGAAUUCUUUCAAGGUUGAUCGAGACUUCCUUAAGCUAUUUAGGGCCCCAUAGAGCAUAAUCUUAUAUAAAAAAUCAAUUUAAUUUUUUUUUUCAAAUACAUUCUUAGUAAAUUUUUUAUUACAUUUAUAAAAAGUUGUGAAAUGAUUAAAAAAUUGUAAAAAUUACCAUGUCUGAAUAAAUGACAACUAGUUUAUCUAUUGUCGACCAUUCCACAAAAUGUGAAAUCCGGAGUAUAUUUAAUUAUGAUUAUAUUUCAUGAGGAUCCAGGUAUUUUAAAUAAUCUUCCAUUUGUAGAUUAAACUUGAAAAUUGUAGACUAUUCCAAAUCUUUUAACAAUAUGCUAAUCUUCCAAAUUUAACAACAUCAUGUGAUAUAUUAUUAUAUAAAAGUACACAUAAAAAUUAAUUUUGACUAUUUUCCAAAUAAAUUUUUUAAUAUUUAUUAUCAACUGUUAAGAUUUAUGACAUUAAUUAGUUUUUAAUUAUUUCAAUUUUAAUUGAACUAUGAACUCUUUUAAGGUUUGUUGACUAAAUAUGCCAAUAAAAACAUUGAUCUAAUGAGAUUAACAUAGAUGAACUUCGUAAUGUGUAAGAAAGACUAAAUUGAAAGGCAGGUAUUCCUUUCAGCCUUUCCACAUACACUUGCAUUGGGGUUACUGAGGCUCUCUUCUCAUAGUCCUAUGGAAGAAAUAAAUACCAGAAGAAAAGGCUAGCUGCUAUAUGCAUCUCUCUGGAGAAAAGGCUAACUGAAUCUUCAAGAGUUGUUGCCACUCUAACCAACGACCCUUUCAAUCAUCAAAAAAUAAUUAUUAGUUCAAGAGGUAUUUCUAGCAAUGUUCAAAAUCAUUUGCAUUUCUUCUUUGAAUAUUCAUAUAUAUUAGGUAAAUGCAAUGCAAAUUUAAGAAAUAAGAAAAUGUAAUCUUUGAUAAUUUGUAAUGGGCAAAGGAUAUGCAAAAAAAAUGUCGGAAUCUUAGAUGAGAAACGAACAGGGAUACAAAAAACUGUUCAUUUCCUUCAAAGGACCCGGUGGGUGGAAACCCUUUGGCUCUUAGCCUCCUUGCGAACCGAAAGACACACAGUUUGAGUUCCUUCAGCUUUCUGAUGGAGGCUUUAUACAUAUAAAUCAUAAAAAAUGUUAAUAUCGAAAUAUAAGGAGGGAAGGAACAUGCGAGACAGCGGUUCAUACCCUCAAAUCUAUUCGAAUAAUCGAACCAUUUCAACAUUUUAUAUAUUUUAUAUGUGCCUCUGUCUGGACCAUACGACACUUGUUCAUCGUUUGGAUAUUCUGAAGGCAGAUUCAAAACAAUAACAAAAAAGUCAAAAUAAAAUAAUUGAUUUAUUGAAAAAAAAUGUGAAAAGCUGCUUGAGGAACAAUUGAUAAGAAAGACAAAGAGUCCCUUCAAAAGGCCUUUCUCUGAAGGGAUCCAAACGCGAAUUCGGAUCCGAUUACUGUGCGCCUCCUAACUAAGCCGCGUAUGAAAGUUGGAGUUUUCAUAAGGCUACUCAAAGAGGCAGGUUCAGGAAGUGAUCUUGCAAAUGGAUAAAAUGAUAUGUUGUUUGUUUAGAGUGCUUUCGAAGGUUGAUGAAUUUGGAAUCGUGCGCAGAAAAUAAAUGAAGAAUAUGAGUUACAGUAAACGAAACAGAGAGUUAAAGUGACACAACGAUGUCAAAUUGUGUUGUGAAGGAUCUCAUUAUCAAUAAAACCAAAAAAAUUCAACACAUAGAAACCUCACCUUUGCCUUCUUUGCUUGCUUUACAACCCCAACAGCAUCAAUUUUCAACACCUUAGGUUACUCAGCACCCUGCAGGAGCUCCCUAGCAAAGGGAAAUAGUAACGUUAGCUCAAUCCCCAGUCUCCUCUUGUUGAGACUUCCCAGCCAAAACCAAAAGCUUAGCAGCAGGAUGCUGAACUUCAAGUUCGUUCACAAGUGUCGCUGAGUCAUUCGUGACAAAAUAGGUUGUCUAAGUGAUUUAUAACCAUCUUAUCCAUACCUAAAGCAGAUCAAACAAACGAUUACAAACAAUCUAAAACUAUCCAGACAAACCCUUCCUUCUGUAAACACCAAUCACCAACAGAUUCAUACACGAACUUUCCCAGAACCCAAAAUGAAAAAUUCCCUUAAUAAAGAUAAAAAAAAACUACUCAUUAUUUUAUCACUCCUCAAACUUCCAAGCACAUUACAUUUACUCUUAGUACUGCAUAAGGAAUAAACGAUAGAUCAACAAACAUGAAAACGUACACAUACCCACAUACCAUUGGGGCCAAGGGAAGUUCGAGUGAUAGUGGAAAGUUGUUUGCAGGCGUCGAUGUUCUUGAGAACGGCCUCAUCGAGACCAGAAAGGUGUUUGUGGCCUUCCUUGAGCAUGGAUUGAAUCCCAUAGGGUUGAAUGUUGAAACCCAUGUUCUUGCAAUUUGAGAAUACCCUAACCCUAAAACCCUGCAAAUGCUAACUUCUCUCUUCAACUAUCAAACUUUUGCGGCUACACUGCC
This 28505-nucleotide long non-coding RNA is filed under the name Phaseolus vulgaris (common bean). RNAcentral's name for it is "long non-coding RNA (PVUL_LNC003395)". The record is from RNAcentral. Lineage: Eukaryota; Viridiplantae; Streptophyta; Magnoliopsida; Fabales; Fabaceae.